GAAAGAUGAAAAGAACUUUGAAAAGAGAGUUAAAUAGUACGUGAAAUUGUUGAAAGGGAAACGAUUGAAGCCAGUCGUACCUACGGGUAAUCAGCCUUUUGGGUGUGAUUUUGUGGAGCGUGAGGAGUUAAACGCCUUCAUGCCUGUAUAUUCGUGCACUUUGGGUGUACUUGCCCGUAUGGUUGGUUAACAUCAAUUUUGGUGGUCAUAAAAUGACUGGAGGAAUGUAGCUUCGAUCUUGUAUUGAAGUGUUAUA
RNAcentral lists this ribosomal RNA (256 nucleotides) under uncultured Rhizophagus. RNAcentral describes it as "partial large subunit ribosomal RNA". It matches the Rfam family "Eukaryotic large subunit ribosomal RNA", at positions 359 to 599 of the family's 3401-position model. The record is from RNAcentral. Lineage: Eukaryota; Fungi; Glomeromycota; Glomeromycetes; Glomerales; Glomeraceae.